CCCUAUAUGACACUCUAGUUCAUUUUAUACACGUGAAAAGACCUUUUUACCCAUGUACAUAAUGUGACCAGAAAUAUGUAGCAUUGAGCCUAAAAUAAGAGCAGUAGUAGUAUUUUUAUGCUUAGUAAAUACUACUACUAAUCUGUCACGGAGAUUUAGAUAUCCUAACUAGUAGCAUUGAGCCUAAAAAAAAGAGCAGCAGUAGUAGUAUAUGACCUUGGUUGUGACAGCCAUGUAAGGUAACGACGUAACGUGGAUAACGGACUUACCUACAUUCAAGUUAGGAAAUUAGCAAUCUGCUACCAGUAUAAUGGAAUCAAUCAAUUUUAUUCCUUUUUUCUGUCACGGAGAUUUAGAUAUCCUAACUAGUAAUAAUAACUAUGUUGCAUAUCGAUCCAGCAGCCUGCUAGCUUCUAUAUGUGUAUAUUAAAAUACCUCUGGGGUCAUAUUAUCUUGAAACAACUACUAUUAUCUUAUACAUAUUUGUGGUCACAUUAUACAUAUGGGCAAAAUGGUCUUUUCAUGUGUACAAAAUGCACUAGAGUGUCAUAUAGGGAAAAAAAUUAAGACUAGAGGUCAUAUAGGGAAGAAUUUUUUCUCUAAUGUCAAAUAAGGAACACAAUUUUAAGAGAGUGUCAAAUAAGGAAUUCUCUCUAGUUUUUUUUAUCCUGUAUGUAAUACUCCCUCCGUCCCAAAAUAACUGUCUCAAGCUUAGUACAAAUUUGUACUAGAGCUAGUACAAAGUUGAGACACUUAUUUUGGGACGAAGGGAGUACAUAAGCAAUCUCUCAUAUUAUUGAGGACACUCUUCAGAGAAACUUCAUGUAUUUCAUUCCACAUCUCGAUCUAUCCUUCUAGCUGUAUCGUUCAAUACAUCAUAGUUCCGUCGCGAAACAAAAACAAUAUGUACAUUGUAGUUUCACGCACCCGUCUAUUUUGGUUGGUUAGUUGUCCCUCACGUACGGGGUUCCUACGUGAAUAACUAGAUAUUUGGAUUCAAAAUAAUGAAAAGCAUGAGCACGCCAUCCAACCUACGUGGCAACAUUAAAGUAAUAUAUGACCAUUGAAGUACUUCCGC
This 1078-nucleotide long non-coding RNA is filed under the name Hordeum vulgare. RNAcentral describes it as "long non-coding RNA (HVUL_LNC013740)". The record is from RNAcentral. Lineage: Eukaryota; Viridiplantae; Streptophyta; Magnoliopsida; Poales; Poaceae.